RNAcentral lists this long non-coding RNA (411 nucleotides) under Mytilus galloprovincialis (Mediterranean mussel). Lineage: Eukaryota; Metazoa; Mollusca; Bivalvia; Mytilida; Mytilidae. The record is from RNAcentral.
CAUUAUCAUACUUCCUUAAAGAAUGUCCUUAUAUAGUAAAAUUGCUCUUUUUUGCAGUUUUAAAGGAAAUAUAUAGCGUUAUCUUUGCGAAAAUAGUAGGCCUUGCUGUUGCAACAAACUAUUGAUUUUUACGUCCAUAAUUUUCAAUUUCACGUGCAAAGGCGGAGCUUAAUUGCUGGGUUGGAUUUAUAAGCCUGACAUUAACUGACUAUUACAAUUGAAUAAAUGGGAAAAUAGGUAUAAUGAAAUGUUUCUUGUAUUUUAAGAGACUUUAGAAUACUUUAGUUUCUGUUAGAACGUUUUUGUUCUUUGUUUACUUCUGCUUACUGCCGUAGAAGCCAAACAUGUUUGAAUUCUUUAAUUAGAAGUCAUUUGUUACAGAUGAAUAAGUAUUAAGAACUGUGAAAAAUG